Long non-coding RNA from Sphaerodactylus townsendi, 477 nucleotides. RefSeq lists it as uncharacterized. Lineage: Eukaryota; Metazoa; Chordata; Lepidosauria; Squamata; Sphaerodactylidae. The transcript has 3 exons. The record is from RefSeq and is a predicted model, not a curated record.
UUUGCUCUUGGAUGUCGAUCUUCCAGACUGGAUCUCUGCACUUGCUCUAGGAAACAGUUCCAAGGAAAAGGUCCUGCCACAUGAAAGGUUGCAAACUAUUGCUGAACAGAUGGUAUCGUGAGAGAAGAGGGCACUCUGAAGAACCCAACAAGCAGCACUUUGAAUUGGGAGAGUGCUUUGGGCCCCUGGCUGGUGGCAGUAUGAGUCACCCGGAGGGAUAACGAGAAAUGAAAGAUCAGAGACGAGGCACCAAAACUGAGAACUAGCUUGGUGCCCAAACCCACAAGGCAGCUCCAAUUUUAGUCCUCUCGUGUGUUCGCCUUGCAAGCAAAAACUAAACAUCCCAGACUCUUCAGCAACCUCAGCACUGGUGUGGCAACAACCGAAGCUAGUUGGCCCCACAGAACGAACGGCAGUUGCUCAGCGCAAAUUCCAGCAGUGAGAAUUGAGGCUAUCCGAUCAGGAGCUCGCCGUUGU